GACGAACGCUGGCGGCGUGCCUAAUACAUGCAAGUCGAACGACAGCAACCGGUGCUUGCCCUGGUCAAUCUAGUAGCGAACGGGUGAGUACCACGUGGGUAACCUGCCCAUCAGAGUGGGAUAACAGCCGGAAACGGAUGCUAAAACCGCUUACGUGUUCUAACCGGCUGGUUUGAAGAGUAAACUCCGCGCAGGCUUCUGUCUGCGGCUGACCCCCCGGUCCAUUAGCUAGUUGGUGGGGUAACGGCUCACCAAGGCCAUGACGCGUAGUCGACCUGAGAGGGUGGUCGGACACAUUGGGACUGAGACACGGCCCAAACUCCUACGGGAGGCAGCAGGAGGGAAUAUUCCGCAAUGGGCGCAAGUCUGACGGAGCAACGCCGCGUGAGUGAAGAAGGUUUUCGGAUUGUAAAACUCUGUUGUUAGAGAAGAACAAGUGUCAGAGUAACUGUUAGCGCCUUGACGGUAUCUAACCAGAAAGCAACGGCUAACUACGUG
This 498-nucleotide ribosomal RNA is filed under the name uncultured bacterium. RNAcentral describes it as "partial 16S ribosomal RNA". It matches the Rfam family "Bacterial small subunit ribosomal RNA", at positions 28 to 507 of the family's 1533-position model. The record is from RNAcentral.